CGCUGAACUUAAGCAUAUCAAUAAGCGGAGGAAAAGAAACCAACAGGGAUUGCCUCAGUAACGGCGAGUGAAGCGGCAACAGCUCAAAUUUGAAAUCUGGUUCCUUUCAGGGCCCGAGUUGUAAUUUGUAGAGGAUGUCUUCGGGUCUGGCCCCGGCCUAAGUUCCUUGGAACAGGACGUCACAGAGGGUGAGAAUCCCGUAUGUGGCUGGAGGUCUAUUCCCAUGUGAAGCUCCUUCGACGAGUCGAGUUGUUUGGGAAUGCAGCUCAAAAUGGGUGGUAAGUUUCAUCUAAAGCUAAAUACCGGCGGGAGACCGAUAGCGCACAAGUAGAGUGAUCGAAAGAUGAAAAGCACUUUGGAAAGAGAGUUAAAAAGUACGUGAAAUUGUUGAAAGGGAAGCGCUUGCGACCAGACUUGCCCUCAGUUGAUCAACCGGUGGUAAACACCGGUGCACUCUGCUGAGGUCAGGCCAGCAUCGGUUUAGGCGGUUGGAGAAAGGCCUAGGGAAUGUGGCUCCCUCCGGGGAGUGUUAUAGCCUGUGGCGUCAUGCGACCAGCCUGGACCGAGGACCGCGCUUCGUGCUAGGAUGCUGGCGUAAUGGUCGUAAGCGACCCGUCUUGAAACACGGACC
This 631-nucleotide ribosomal RNA is filed under the name Glutinoglossum exiguum. RNAcentral describes it as "eukaryotic LSU rRNA". It matches the Rfam family "Eukaryotic large subunit ribosomal RNA", at positions 26 to 667 of the family's 3401-position model. Lineage: Eukaryota; Fungi; Ascomycota; Geoglossomycetes; Geoglossales; Geoglossaceae. The record is from RNAcentral.